GGCGUAAAGAGCUCGUAGGUGGUUUGUCGCGUUGUUCGUGAAAUCUCACGGCUUAACUGUGAGCGUGCGGGCGAUACGGGCAGACUUGAGUACUGCAGGGGAGACUGGAAUUCCUGGUGUAGCGGUGGAAUGCGCAGAUAUCAGGAGGAACACCGGUGGCGAAGGCGGGUCUCUGGGCAGUAACUGACGCUGAGGAGCGAAAGCGUGGGGAGCGAACAGGAUUAGAUACCCUGGUAGUCCACGCCGUAAACGGUGGGUACUAGGUGUGGGUUUCCUUCCUUGGGAUCCGUGCCGUAGCUAACGCAUUAAGUACCCCGCCUGGGGAGUACGGCCGCAAGGCUAAAACUCAAAGAAAUUGACGGGGGCCCGCACAAGCGGCGGAGCAUGUGGAUUAAUUCGAUGCAACGCGAAGAACCUUACCUGGGUUUGACAUGCACAGGACGCCGGCAGAGAUGUCGGUUCCCUUGUGGCCUGUGUGCAGGUGGUGCAUGGCUGUCGUCAGCUCGUGUCGUGAGAUGUUGGGUUAAGUCCCGCAACGAGCGCAACCCUUGUCUCAUGUUGCCAGCGGGUAAUGCCGGGGACUCGUGAGAGACUGCCGGGGUCAACUCGGAGGAAGGUGGGGAUGACGUCAAGUCAUCAUGCCCCUUAUGUCCAGGGCUUCACACAUGCUACAAUGGCCGGUACAAAGGGCUGCGAUGCCGCGAGGUUAAGCGAAUCCUUUUAAAGCCGGUCUCAGUUCGGAUCGGGGUCUGCAACUCGACCCCGUGAAGUCGGAGUCGCUAGUAAUCG
RNAcentral lists this ribosomal RNA (789 nucleotides) under uncultured bacterium. RNAcentral describes it as "bacterial SSU rRNA". It matches the Rfam family "Bacterial small subunit ribosomal RNA", at positions 557 to 1344 of the family's 1533-position model. The record is from RNAcentral.